AUACGUACCGUACGAACGUUAUUCGGAAUCACUGGGCUUAAAGGGUGCGUAGGCGGCGUGGUCAGUUGGGUGUGAAAUCCCUCGGCUCAACCGAGGAACUGCGCCCAAUACUGCCACACUUGAGGGAGACAGAGGUAAGCGGAACUGAUGGUGGAGCGGUGAAAUGCGUUGAUAUCAUCAGGAACACCAGUGGCGAAGGCGGCUUACUGGGUCUCUUCUGACGCUGAGGCACGAAAGCUAGGGUAGCGAACGGGAUUAGAAACCCCAGUAGUCC
Molecule: ribosomal RNA, 274 nt
Filed under: uncultured bacterium
Lineage: Bacteria
Description: partial 16S ribosomal RNA
Rfam family: Bacterial small subunit ribosomal RNA
Source: RNAcentral